AGUGAACGCUGGCGGUAGGCCUAACACAUGCAAGUCGAACGGCAGCACAGUAAGAGCUUGCUCUUACGGGUGGCGAGUGGCGGACGGGUGAGGAAUACAUCGUAAUCUACUUUUUCGUGUGUGUUAACGUAGGGAAACUUACGCUAAUACCUCAUACGACCUACGGGUGAAAGCAGGGGAUCUUCGGACCUUGCGCGAUUGAAUGAGCCGAUGUCGGAUUUGCUAGUUGGCGGGGUAAAGUCCCACCAAGGCGACGAUCCGUAUCUGGUCUGAGAGGAUGAGCAGCGAAACGGGAACUGAGACACGGACAAGAGGACUACGGGAGGCAGCAGUGGGGAAUAUUGGACAAUGGGCGAAAGCCUGAUACAGCAAUACCGCGUGGGUGAAGAAGGCCUUCGGGUUGUAAAGACCUUUUGUUGGGAAAGAAAAGAAGCAGGUUAAUACCACGCUGUUCUGACGGUACCCAAAGAAUAAGCACCGGCUAACUUCGUG
This 492-nucleotide ribosomal RNA is filed under the name uncultured bacterium. RNAcentral's name for it is "partial 16S ribosomal RNA". It matches the Rfam family "Bacterial small subunit ribosomal RNA", at positions 29 to 507 of the family's 1533-position model. The record is from RNAcentral.